AGUAUCUGGGUAAUGGUGUGCUGUGUUGCUGGGAAUGCCCCAAGCUGUUCGGACCGCGUUUUACCGUUAACUUUCCCAGAGUGGGGCAGAAAGAAGCGGAUUGCUGACGGUUACCCAGCCUCAGCCCCGGGUGCCCCCGUGACACCGCACAUGGCGGGGUCGGGAACGUGAGCAACGUGUCCGCAGGGAGGCUGUCAAGGCUCUUGACUUACUUGUAGAGCAGGUUCAUUAGGCCCAGCUAAUGAACAUCCCAAUGACCGACACAAACAAAUGGGGACACGACAGCCUAGUGGUAUUAUCACUGGAAUCUUAAUUCAAAAACCCAGAGACAGUUACAUUCUGGGAGAUGAAGGGAGAUUGUCCCUAAACGAGUGGACUUUGCUGAACUGAUGGCACCAGCAGUAAAGCUACAAGCACCUCAUGUAAUACAGGCUGGGAGGGUUCUGUUCCACAUUUGUGUUGAAUUAUCUGAUAAUGGUGAGGUCAUGUGUGCAAUCCAAUUGGCAUUAGUGACCUUGGAGUUAAAGAAUGCUGACACUUGUGUCCCCUUCCACCAAACCCCCUCCAAAUGGUACUUAAUUUUUGUCAAUACCUCAAGUUCUUUAAGCUCUUAUUCAGAUUCUAUUGAUAUUAUGAAUUGUAUUUUGUAAAACGUUUAGAGCCUCCACCCUUCCUCCCCCUCACCCUACCUUACCUUUCAGGUGCAUAGCCAGCUUGAAUUCUGGUGGCAGUAUAUCGCUGUGCUGCUGUCUCAUGUCCAUGCCCAUGGUGGGACACACUUGGAUGUCCCACCCCGGGGGAGAACUGAUCGCCUCGAGGCUGAGUUGGGUCCAUUUCUCCCACAAUUGUCCGAUAAUCAAUCCGGUAAAAGUCAUGCUCUGAGUCACUAAAUCCACCGUAACACUGUCUGUCCAUUUCCCUGCUCUCAGGAAAAUAACUUCCAGAACCUUCCAAGUGUUGAAGUGUACAGUUCACCGGGGAAGGCAGAUGGUGUUGAGAGAAUCAAACUGAAUACUGCCGAGACAUCCUACCACCGUAAGCUCACCAUUCAGGAUCAACAAAACGCCAAGAGAUAUCCUUGAAACAGUUCAGCAAAUUUAAGUUUUCUUCACACUGCCCUAGGGUCCAUAUAAAACAGCAACAACUUCUAAAUUGGAUUGUCACUGGAUCAAAAUCUUUGAAAUGCCUACUUAACGGCAUGCUGGAAGUACCUCAACCACAUGGACUCAAGAAAGCAGCUGAUCACCAACGUCUCAGGGACCAACUACAGAUGGGCAGUAAUGACUAUUAGUGGUGCCCACAUCUCAAGAAUGAAUUAAAAAUCACUUGCCUAUAACAGAAUAUAUUUCAAGUUCCUUAUGCCUCUGAUAUUGAACUUUAUACACAAACUCAGAAGUCUUUACAGUAGGAACAGAGGCAUGGCACUCAUCCACAAAUUCUAUCAACAGAUACAUCGAACUAGACCCUAUAUACCGACCACUGCAGCGGACAGCAACUGACAACCGGAAGCGGCAGAUUCAAGCCAGUAUAAAUGCCGGAGGAAUCAGCACAGAAGCGCUUCACAGGAGGCUCCCAAGCACUGAAGAUGCCACCUAGAAAGGGGGCGAAACGUUUGCAACAAAAACUCCCAGCUCGGCGAACAGAACCACAACAACGAGCACCCGAGCUACAAAUCUUCUCACAAACUUUGAGUAGGAACAGAUCAUAUCCAUUCAGGUUUAACAGUUGAGUGGAAACCUCCCAGUACUGGUUGAAAGGAGUGAACAAAUAUAUAAAAAGUAGAAAUUCCAAAUUUGACUCCCUGAGGUACAAAAACAAAAUCCAACAGCUCAUAUAAAAAAAAUUGAUGACAGCAUUUUUGCAUAGUGAAUGUCAAUAAACUAUUUGACUUCAGGAUCAUAAACCAAGCUUAGUCCUUUUUUCAGGUGACCUCCAUAAACCUUACAUUUCUCUUAAGGGCAACAAAGCUAGCUGAUCAUUUUGCCUCUACCAUUGCCUAGCAGGACUGUGGCCAAUUUAGAUCCUUUCAAUACCCCCUUGUAAUCUUCAUCCCAGUUUUGAAUCCCGAGCAUAGAAAUCUUGCAAUCACAGCAUAUUUUAUAAAACAAUUUGAGUUAAGGAUAAAGACUUAGUACAUUUACUAAUUAAU
Long non-coding RNA from Hemiscyllium ocellatum (epaulette shark), 2149 nucleotides. RefSeq lists it as uncharacterized. The transcript has 4 exons. The record is from RefSeq and is a predicted model, not a curated record. NCBI's taxonomy places the organism in Eukaryota, Metazoa, Chordata, Chondrichthyes, Orectolobiformes, Hemiscylliidae.